Molecule: RNA transcript, 3204 nt
Organism: Musa acuminata AAA Group (dessert banana)
Lineage: Eukaryota; Viridiplantae; Streptophyta; Magnoliopsida; Zingiberales; Musaceae
Gene name: CMP-sialic acid transporter 5
Exons: 20
Source: RefSeq, a predicted model, not a curated record
AUGAAGUAACAAACCGUAUAGAGAAGUGUGCAGUAGAAUUGAAGCGAAAGAGACGUGAGUCGAUCCUUCUCUCUCUCUUUCUCUCUCUCGACCUUUGGAUACUGCCCCUCGGUUCCAUUCGACCCACUCGCCUCGAAUUUUCUGUUCCUCUCCCCUCCUCUGUCGAUAGAAUCGAUCUCGUCUUCGCUCCACUUUGUCGAUCGCCGAACCAAGAACCGUCGGUUCUGCCUGGAGACCAGCGCGUUUGGGAGGAGGGCUCGGUUCGUUCCCGAUUUCGGAGGUUUGGGGGAGAACCGGGCGGUUGGAGAAUGCCUUGAUCGGGUGACGGGCUUUCUUCGUCUGAUCAGGAUUGCAGAUAGCUGCGUUUCAUAAACGGUUGCUGGGUGGGAAGCUUUUUGUUGCUAGGGGAAAGGAUGAUAGAAUGCAAUUUCUGUCACUCCAAAUUUCCACUUCCAGCAAGUAAAACUGUGUCCAGGGCGUAUGACAACCAUAAGAGCAAGAUAUCCUCAAAACAACGAGCUCUUCAUGUUAUGCUGGUUGUUGGUGAUUGCAUCUUGGUGGGACUCCAGCCCAUCCUGGUCUAUAUGUCUAAGGUGGAUGGGAGCUUCAAAUUUAGUCCCAUCAGUGUUAAUUUUCUGACUGAGGGUACAAAAGUUCUCUUUGCCAUUAUGAUGCUGUUGUUCCAGUCUAGGCGACAAAAAGUGGGAGAAAGGCCUCUUCUCUCUGUAUCUAAUUUUGUGCAGGCAGCUCGAAACAAUAUUCUACUGGCUGUUCCUGCCUUUCUUUAUGCCAUCAACAAUUACCUGAAAUUUAUAAUGCAGUUAUACUUCAACCCUGCUACUGUUAAAAUGUUGAGCAACCUUAAGGUUUUGGUAAUUGCUGUUCUUUUAAAGACCAUAAUGAGAAGACGCUUUUCCAUUAUCCAGUGGGAGGCUCUUGCACUGCUGCUCAUUGGAAUCAGUGUUAAUCAGCUUAGAUCCUUGCCUGAGGGUACCACAGCGCUUGGUCUUCCUGUUGCAACUGGUGCAUACAUGUAUACACUGAUUUUUGUAACUGUACCUUCACUAGCCUCAGUCUAUAAUGAGUAUGCUUUAAAAAGCCAAUUUGAGACGAGCAUAUAUCUUCAGAACUUAUUUUUAUAUGGCUAUGGUGCUAUAUUUAACUUUAUAGCAAUCAUCGGUAUUGCUGUCCUCAAAGGGACAAGUAGUUUUCACAUACUUGAAGGACACUCAAAGGCCACAAUGUUUCUCAUUUGCAACAAUGCUGCACAGGGAAUACUCUCGUCCUUCUUUUUUAAAUAUGCAGACACAAUUCUGAAAAAAUAUUCAUCGACAGUUGCCACUAUCUUUACUGGCAUAGCAUCUGCUGCAUUAUUUGGUCACACUCUCACUAUGAACUUUGUAUUGGGCAUUUCAAUAGUGUUCAUAUCGAUGCACCAGUUCUUUUCUCCACUUGCAAAAGUCAAAGAUGAAACUCCAAAUGGAGAUCUAGAGAUGAGGGAUGCCCAAGAUUACAGAUCCAAGGAAACAUCUUUCAUAGAUAUGGCUGCUGGUGCAACAGAGGAUGCUAGCCACCACGCUGGACCUGAUGAGAAACAACCACUUCUCCCCACAUAAAUUUUCUUGCAAGAUGUCAGAAGAAUAUUCUUUGACUGGUCACAAGAAAAAGAUAAGCCAGUCCUAACUACAAUAAAUAGAGCAGUUUGCUGCAGACUCCGAACACAAGGUAUAUAGCUAGCGGCUGUAGAAGACUCAUGUUUUCAGAUUGAUGAAGAGCAUGAAAAGCCUUGAAGCUACCCAUGAGGAGAUCCAUCAUGAGGCAGCAGCAUGAAGAACAGGCACAACCUCCAUGCAUAUUAUGACAAAUGAAUUGGCAAGAUCCAAUGUGAAACAGAUCAGUCACAACUUGGGACCAUAAUUCAACCAAAAGACAAUCAUUGAGAAGUCUUCUGUAAAGGUGCCAUCUGUUCUUUUUAUCUACAACAUCUUUUAUGGUUUUGUGAUGAUAGGUUAUUUAAAAUAAGUAAAAAGAAAGCAUGUGAUUUUUAAUUACAACAAUAAAUAAGUAUCAUUUUGAUAGAGGUUGAGAAGAGAAAAAAUUUACGAGCAUAUUCUUUAGGAGACCUCUAGAUGAGAUAGAUAAAAAAUAUAAAAUAAUUAAUACCAGUGCUACGAGAAAAGAUAGAAGAAGAUCUAAAAAGAUCUUAAUAGAAUUAUAAAUAAAGAUUUAAAUAUUCUAAACUUAACUAAACAUAUAAUAUUUUCGAUAAAAGAUUUAUAUAGUUGAUCUCAAAUAAUUAAAAUUUUAUGAUUUUAUUAUUAUUAUAGCUUAUAAUAACUAAAAAAAUAUUAAUUAAAAUUUUAAUCAAAAUAUACAUAUAUUAGGAAUGUAUACGAUAAACUUAAAUUGAUAGAGAUAAAUAUGAAGAUCACUUGUAAUUUACCUUAGAAAUAAUACAUCACAAUUGUUAUUAUUAUAACAAUACACUAAUAUCAUUCAUAUACAUUCCGUUUGUUAACGUCAAUCCAAAUAAUAAUAAUAAUAAUAAUAAUAAUAAUAAUAAUAAUAAUAAUAAUAAUAAUAAUAAUAAUAAUAAUAAUAAUAAUAUCUGGAUUAAAAGUAGACGACUUUAGGCUCACUGUCAUAUUGGGAGGUGCCACAUCAUGAUCGUGAUCAUGAUCAUCGCGCCGUCAUCACGGUUGUCAUAUCUAUCUAUUGAUUAAGAUGUCAACUCACAACGGUUCACAUCAUCCGUCGGUUUUCCCACAGCUAACAAUCUCCCAUCCCGACCGUUCGAUCUUCCACAAAGCAAUCAUCACCUUCCGCACUCCAUCUUCUUCCUCUUCUUGCCGUAGUAUGUAGUCGUCUAUAUAUAACCAAGAGUGUGGGAAAGAUCCCAUUUUUGUAGAGGCAGGGUGGGAGAGCGAGAGCGAUAAACCGUGACAAGGGAGGUUUGCUGCUGUCCGGAGGGAUGCCGAUCGUUGAUUCCGAGUCCCUGCGCCGCUCGAUUCGCGAGAAGUGGAAGAAGUAGGUCGUUGUUGUGGAACGCAGGCGUGAAUGCUCCGACCUCGCAGUCGUUCUUGAAUUACCUUCUCCUUGCAAUAUUUUACGGCGCUUAUGUCAUCUACCGAAGGCGGCCACUUCAGAUAAAUUGGUACUACUAUUUGAUACUCGGUAUAGUUGAUGUGGAAGCCAAUUUUAUUG